GCCUUCGGGAACUCUGAGACCGNGUGCUGCUNUGGCUGUCGUCAGCUCGUGUUGUGAAAUGUUGGGUUAAGUCCCGCAACGAGCUCACCCUUAUCCUUUGGUUGCCAGCGGUCCGGCCGUGGAACUCAAAGGAGACUGCCAGUGAUNAACUGGAGGAAGGUGGGGAUGACGUCNAGUCAUCAUGGCCCUUACGGAGUAGGGCUACACACGUGCUACAAUGGCGCAUACAAGAGAGAAGCGACCUCGGGAGAGCAAGCGACCGNNUUUAACNGUGCGUCGUAGAGGCGGGAUUGGGAGUCUGCAAGCUCGACUNCCAUGAAGUCGAAAUCGGGUGUAAUCGGUACGAAUCAAAAUGCUACCGGUGA
Molecule: ribosomal RNA, 365 nt
Filed under: Pantoea sp. LGI-P2M
Lineage: Bacteria; Pseudomonadati; Pseudomonadota; Gammaproteobacteria; Enterobacterales; Erwiniaceae
Description: partial 16S ribosomal RNA
Rfam family: Bacterial small subunit ribosomal RNA
Source: RNAcentral